GACGAACGCUGGCGGCGCGCCUAACACAUGCAAGUCGAACGAGCGAGAGAGAGAUUGCUUUCUCGAGCGAGUGGCGAACGGGUGAGUAACGCGUGAGGAGCCUGCCUCAAAGAGCGGGACAACAGUUGGAAACGAGUGCGAAUACCGCAUAAACACACGGGACGGAAUAGACCAGAGGGAAAAAGAGCAAUUCGCUUUGAGAUGGCCUCGCGUCCGAUUAUCUAGUUGGUGAGGUAAUGGCCCACCAAGGCGACGAGCGGUAGCUGGACUGAGAGGUUGAACGGACACAUUGGGACUGAGACCCGGCCCAGACUCCUACGGGAGGCAGCAGUGGGGAAUAUUGAACGAUGGGGGAAACCCUGAUGCAGCGACGCCGCGUGGAGGAAGAAGGUCUUCGGAUUGUAAACUCCUGUUGUUGGCGAAGAUAAUGACGGUACCCAACAAGGAAGUGACGGCUAACUACGUG
RNAcentral lists this ribosomal RNA (466 nucleotides) under uncultured bacterium. RNAcentral describes it as "partial 16S ribosomal RNA". It matches the Rfam family "Bacterial small subunit ribosomal RNA", at positions 28 to 507 of the family's 1533-position model. The record is from RNAcentral.